RNAcentral lists this ribosomal RNA (253 nucleotides) under uncultured bacterium. Its description in RNAcentral is "partial 16S ribosomal RNA". It matches the Rfam family "Bacterial small subunit ribosomal RNA", at positions 524 to 776 of the family's 1533-position model. The record is from RNAcentral.
UACGAAGGGGGCUAGCGUUGUUCGGAAUUACUGGGCGUAAAGCGCUCGUAGGCGGAUUGAUAAGUUAGGGGUGAAAUCCCGGGGCUCAACCUCGGAACUGCCUCUGAUACUGUUAGUCUCGAGUCCGAUAGAGGUGAGUGGAAUUCCUAGUGUAGAGGUGAAACUCGUAGAUGUUAGGAAGAACACCAGUGGCGAAGGCGGCUCACUGGAUCGGUACUGACGCUGAGGAGCGAAAGCGUGGGGAGCAAACAGG